RNAcentral lists this ribosomal RNA (374 nucleotides) under uncultured bacterium. RNAcentral's name for it is "bacterial SSU rRNA". It matches the Rfam family "Bacterial small subunit ribosomal RNA", at positions 509 to 881 of the family's 1533-position model. The record is from RNAcentral.
CAGCAGCCGCGGUAAUACGUAGGUGGCAAGCGUUGUCCGGAAUNAUUGGGCGUAAAGCGCGCGCAGGCGGAUCAGUCAGUCUGUCUUAAAAGUUCGGGGCNUAACCCCGUGAUGGGAUGGAAACNGCUGAUCUAGAGUAUCGGAGAGGAAAGUGGAAUUCCUAGUGUAGCGGUGAAAUGCGUAGAUAUUAGGAAGAACACCAGUGGCGAAGGCGACUUUCUGGACGAAAACUGACGCUGAGGCGCGAAAGCCAGGGGAGCGAACGGGAUUAGAUACCCCGGUAGUCCUGGCCGUUAACGAUGGGUACUAGGUGUAGGAGGUAUCGACCCCUUUCUGUGCCGGAGUUAACGCAAUAAGUACCCCGCCUGGGGAGU